AGCAGAGUAAAUCGUAUCUGAGGACACGAUGGGAAGCAUCUACCAGACGGCUCGACAGUAGACGAAGCUGAACGACCGAUAGAUACCAGUAGUCAGCGUACCUAUGCGCGUAGGUGUCUGUACUACGAGUACAGGGUGCGGAAGUGAAACGUGCACACCGUCCGCUGGAGUACGUAGCAAAGACAUGAAACUAAAAGAAUUGCCGGGGGAGCACACAACGGUGAGCUGCGGGUUGGGGUGGGGGUCGGCGCGGGCAGCUCACGGAUAGGACAGCGAAUGAUAGCCGGGCUGAAGACCUUGCUUGACCAGCUGAGAGGAGGUGCAUGGCCGUCGUCAGUUCGUACUGUGAAGCAUCCUGUUUAGAAAAAGAAAAAAACGAGACCCACGCCAACAGUUGCUAGCAUGUUCUCCGGAAUGAUGAGGACACUGUUGGGACCGCCUCUGCUAAAGAGGAGGAAGGAAUGGGCAACGGUAGGUCAGCAUGCCCCGAAUUAUCCGGGCUACACGCGGGCUACAGUGGUCAGGACAAUGGGAAACGGCACUGAAAAGUGUAGUCAAUCUCCUAAACCUGGGGGCAAAUUCGGAUUGUGGGCUGCAACUCGCCCACAUGAAGCUGGAAUCCGUAGUAAUCGCGUUCAAAACAGCGCGUGAAUACCCUCUCCUGCACACCCUAAUUCUCCGCCCAUAGCUCAGACCUGCAUGCAAG
RNAcentral lists this ribosomal RNA (706 nucleotides) under uncultured methanogenic archaeon. RNAcentral describes it as "bacterial SSU rRNA". It matches the Rfam family "Archaeal small subunit ribosomal RNA", at positions 636 to 1478 of the family's 1478-position model. Lineage: Archaea; Methanobacteriati; Methanobacteriota. The record is from RNAcentral.